CUUUAGUGAUGUUGGCAACCUCUGUGUACUAUGUGUCUCUGACUUUAUGUAACCUAUCACUUCCACAUUGUUAAAAUACCACUGACAGUUGACUGUGGAAUAUUUAGAAAUUUCAUGACUGGACUUGCUGCGAUCCUAUCACGGUACCAUGCUGGAAUUCACUGAGCUCCUGAGAGCGACCAUUCUUUCCCAGAUGUUUGCAGAACCAGUCUGCAUGCCUAGGUGAUUUUUACAUUUACUUGAUUUUUUUUUUACACCUGUGGUCGUCAAAGCGAUUAGAAGAUGUGAAUUCAGUGAUUUGGAUUGGUGAGUAAAUACUUUUUCUUGGCAAUAAAGUUUCUCUGGCUUUCACAUUCACAGAACUAAAACUGCAAAAAUGUAUUAUUGCUUGAUUUUUAAACAGUUGAGACAGGAUGGCUGCUAAGGGUUUCACUUGUGUUUCUGUGUAUUUGUGCAAGUGAUCAUAGCAAAAUGUGUUGUUGUCACCUUGCGUCACAGCAACCUCCACAAAUGCAUUUUUGAGUACUUGACAGGUUUUAACAUGUAUGUGGAAAGACUCCACCAGUUUAGUUGAGUCACGUAAUGUUGAAAUAAAAUUGAAGGCCAACUUCUACACAAUGGUGACAGUAGAUGGCAAAAUUAGCCACAGUCAUUCUUUUCGUUUGUACAUAAGUGUGACUGUGCCCGCUUUAAGGUUCUGGUCUGUUUAUUAUUUAAAUGUCACUAUGCAAUUUUCAACAACCGCCAGCAUUAGGCUAAUAUAAACAUUCAGUUUCAGACAGUUCUCUUUCAAACCCUCUUUUCAGUGUCUCACUGUUGGGAACACUCUGUUAACGCUGCACUAAGCACCUGCAGGUUGAUCACUACACUGAUUUGAGCCUCAAGUGGAGUCUUUCAUUAUGAAAUACAAAUGCAUUUAUAUUUUGGUAUUAUAAAUGGAUUUAUAACACCAAAAAAGAAAUGCAGCAUCAUUCACAUUCCUCCUCUCUCCUGAAUGGUAAUGCAAGUGUUCUCUUAGCAGACGCUAGCAUGGGUUGUGUCUGCACUGCUUAGUCUCUACCGAAUAUUCAGGUUGAUUGAGCUCCAGACAAACCUUGCCUUUUUGCAAUAGUAAAGAACAUAGCUCCGCCCUGACACAAGCAUCACAGCUGCCAGUCAUCACAGCUGAAUCUUGUAACAGGUGUUAUGUUUAUCAUCAUCAGACAAUACCUGAUUGGGACCUUUUUAGUCAGGCUAUAUUUAAAAAAAAAUAAAAUAAAAAAAUUUAGAAUUGCUAGAACUGCUACAGGUUGAUGUGAACACAACAGUCUAUCUGCGUUGGCUUUGCGACCUGCCCAGAGGGGAACCUUUCCCCCACCCCACCCCGAUAAGAGGUCAAACAGACAUUUGGAAUGAGGUAACUGGGCCAAAGUGUGAAGUCUGCAUAGGACAUAAAGCACAUGUACCAUCCAGGAGGUGCACAGAGUGGAGCUGUACUGUAACAAUGACUCUUCAGUGAGCAAAAUGAUGGAACAGCCCCCCCCCUUGGCAGACAGUGGAUAACUAAAGUUCACUUGUUUGUAGACUCAACCAAUAAAACAAAAAACCAUGAACACCCAAAUAUUUUUUAAAUAUUAUUUUAAUACUUUUCUUUAAAAAACAAACAAACAAACAAACAAAAAAAAAAAGAUGUUGUACUCCAUAAUCUGAACAAGAUGAAUCUAUUGACCUCAAUGCCUCACUCACCAACAUACCAACACAUUGUUCUGGGUAAAAGAAAAAAAAAAACAUAGCAAAGGGAAAAGAAACUUAAAAACAGUUAAAUAUGAAAACGGAAAGGAAGUAGAACAUUAAAAAAAGGAGAAGAAGAAGAAGACGUGAUUAUAGAGUCAGAAACACUCAUGGAUCAGUGGGCCAACCAACAGACAGUCGGGGGGAGGGGAAAGAAAAAAAAAAAAAAAAAAAAAGCUCAGUUUCCAAACACAAUGGCAUACAACAUCCCAAAACUGUUACCGUGGAUGAUAAAAACAUCUCAGAAAUAAGAGCUAAAAACAACAGAAUCAGAACCUAUUAUACAGACUGCAGAAGCUGGGAACGAGAUAGUGGAAGAUGAGACGGCAAAGAGACUAAAAACAUGAACAUGAUGAAUAAAAAUAACAAAUCCAUAAAAGAACACAAGUAAUCAAUGAGUCAAGAGCGGAUUCAUCGGACAACUGGAGCAUGAUGGGAGGGGGCUACUAAAGUAGUCGCAUAAGAUGAUUGGUGGAACCGCUUCAAACUAGUACAGAGCAAACUACUGCAUGGUUUUUAAAAAAAAAAAAAAAAAAAAAAAAGGGGGGGGGGGGGGGGGGGACAGGAAAAUUAAAUAGCA
Molecule: long non-coding RNA, 2350 nt
Organism: Astatotilapia calliptera (eastern happy)
Lineage: Eukaryota; Metazoa; Chordata; Actinopteri; Cichliformes; Cichlidae
Source: Ensembl